Molecule: transfer RNA, 84 nt
Filed under: Neobacillus paridis
Lineage: Bacteria; Bacillati; Bacillota; Bacilli; Caryophanales; Bacillaceae
Also listed under: 5 other names
Description: tRNA-Leu
Rfam family: tRNA
About the family: Transfer RNA (tRNA) molecules are approximately 80 nucleotides in length. Their secondary structure includes four short double-helical elements and three loops (D, anti-codon, and T loops). Further hydrogen bonds mediate the characteristic L-shaped molecular structure. tRNAs have two regions of fundamental functional importance: the anti-codon, which is responsible for specific mRNA codon recognition, and the 3' end, to which the tRNAs corresponding amino acid is attached (by aminoacyl-tRNA synthetases). tRNAs cope with the degeneracy of the genetic code in two manners: having more than one tRNA (with a specific anti-codon) for a particular amino acid; and 'wobble' base-pairing, i.e. permitting non-standard base-pairing at the 3rd anti-codon position.
Source: RNAcentral
GCGGGUGUGGCGGAAUCGGCAGACGCGCUAGAUUCAGGUUCUAGUGGUAGUAAUACCGUAUGGGUUCAAGUCCCUUCACCCGCA